RNAcentral lists this ribosomal RNA (460 nucleotides) under uncultured bacterium. RNAcentral's name for it is "partial 16S ribosomal RNA". It matches the Rfam family "Bacterial small subunit ribosomal RNA", at positions 338 to 795 of the family's 1533-position model. The record is from RNAcentral.
CCUACGGGAGGCAGCAGUGAGGAAUAUUGGUCAAUGGGCGCUAGCCUGAACCAGCCAAGUAGCGUGAAGGAUGACUGCCCUAUGGGUUGUAAACUUCUUUUAUAUGGGAAUAAAGUGCAGUAUGUAUACUGCUUUGCAUGUACCUUAUGAAUAAGGAUCGGCUAACUCCGUGCCAGCAGCCGCGGUAAUACGGAGGAUUCGAGCGUUAUCCGGAUUUAUUGGGUUUAAAGGGAGCGUAGGCGGGUUGUUAAGUCAGUUGUGAAAGUUUGCGGCUCAACCGUAAAAUUGCAGUUGAUACUGGCAGCCUUGAGUACAGUAGAGGUAGGCGGAAUUCGUGGUGUAGCGGUGAAAUGCUUAGAUAUCACGAAGAACUCCGAUUGCGAAGGCAGCCUGCUGGACUGUAACUGACGCUGAUGCUCGAAAGUGUGGGUAUCAAACAGGAUUAGAUGCCCGAGUAGUC